CAAAUCAUUUAAAAGAAAUCAGCAGAAAACGGUCAUAAGCGAGUGAACAAAAGCUGCUAUAGUGUUUCAAGCAGACUCUGAAAAGCAACAUCAAAUGUACAAUAACAAUGUAUGUUAUACAUAUAAAGUACCGACUGAAUCAAAUGGCAAGAGGCAACAUCUACGACUCAGUGGUCUAGCAUGUAACUAUCUAUCGUGAAACAACAUUUUAAGACAAUAAAACCAGUCCAAGACACUAGCAGAUCACCUCGACAAAAACAGCUAUCAGUUUCUUCCAAGGGGCAAAGAUCUGCAAGAAUAAGUCUCCUUGAAGUCAGACUUUCUUGAUGAAGUGAAAAUGGAGGCAUAGACUUCCUUUGUAGCAUGAGCUGGAGCUACAUCAACAGCCUUAAACCUCUUCCCAGACCCGUUGCUCGAACUAUUCUUCACAUCCUUAACUUCAAUCUUACUUUUAAUGCCAAUUUUACCAUUCCCUUCCACUUUCCUUGCAUCCUUGCCUACCAGCUUAUCCUCAAUCCCAUGUUUCAUUCCGCUCAAGCGUGAUGCCCCAAUGACCUCUUCACCAUUCACAGCUACAUCCACAUUCCUCCCCUUCUUCACCUUCUUACUAUCCUUCAAUUUCACCCUUUCUUCCUCCAUUCUCUCCCUCAAAGCCGCAACCUCUUCUUCACUCCCGUUGAUCACAAUUUUGUCACUCUCCACAACCUCCUUGUGGCAAACCAAACAAGCCGAGGAUUUCACCUCCUUCAAAGCUUUUGCACUCAAAACAUGCCCACAACCCCUCAAAGCAAAGAACUUGUACUUCCCAUUGAACUCCAACCCUGUUACCGGGCACUGAAACCCAGUCCCUUCACCAUCACCAAGCCCUCUAUCCUCUUUGCCCGGAAUCACCGAUAGCUCAACCGGAAUCAUAUCUUUCAAUCCCUUUAUAUACCCAAACUGCUUAGGCAGCCUUUUCUUCAAUAAAGCCUCAACUAACGUCUCCUUAUUGAACAAAUUCCCAAGCUUAUCAAUAACAACAGGAUGCUUUAAUGACUCGUUCGACAACGCACAAUUCAACCAUCUAGACAACCUAAUCUCAUUUGGAUCAAUUUUAUCCGGUUUCUUAACAGCAUACAUCUUGAGAUAACAGUCUCGGGACUCCGCUCCCGUGGCACCUCCAUCACCACCACCACCACGAAGGCGGAAACGUAGUACCAAAGUGGAAAACGGGCUAAUCCCAGAACCAUAUAAUAGAGUUGAAUCCUUAAUGGGUCGACCAUCAAAAGUAAGAUAGACAGAAUCCUUAAUUGCAGCCAAUGAUUUCUGGGUUUUUUCAAGCAAACAUGAUUUGAGGUCUUGCAAAGUGAAAUUAGGAUUAGGGUUUUCAAUAUUUAGGACAUGAGUAGGGAUCUGAAGCUCUGGCGAUUGUAUAAAAACUGGGAAAUUGCGCAUUUGGGGUUCCAUUAUUAGGGUUUAUGAAUUGAAAUCGAAGAGAAAUUUAAAAAAGAAUACCUGAAUUGAAGAGAAAUCGAAGAGCUCUG
This 1523-nucleotide unclassified non-coding RNA is filed under the name Hevea brasiliensis (rubber tree). The record is from RNAcentral. Lineage: Eukaryota; Viridiplantae; Streptophyta; Magnoliopsida; Malpighiales; Euphorbiaceae.